GAUGAACGCUGGCGGCGUGCUUAACACAUGCAAGUCGAACGGUUAAGCUCCAGCUUGCUGGAGUGGAUCAGUGGCGAACGGGUGAGUAACACGUGAGCAACCUGCCCCUGACUCUGGGAUAACAGCCGGAAACGGCUGCUAAUACCGGAUAUGCACCAUGAACGCAUGUUCUGUGGUGGGAAAGAUUUUUCGGUUGGGGAUGGGCUCGCGGCCUAUCAGCUUGUUGGUGAGGUAAUGGCUCACCAAGGCGUCGACGGGUAGCCGGCCUGAGAGGGUGACCGGCCACACUGGGACUGAGACACGGCCCAGACUCCUACGGGAGGCAGCAGUGGGGAAUAUUGCACAAUGGGCGAAAGCCUGAUGCAGCAACGCCGCGUGAGGGAUGACGGCCUUCGGGUUGUAAACCUCUUUUAGCAGGGAAGAAGCGAGAGUGACGGUACCUGCAGAAAAAGCGCCGGCUAACUACGUG
This 469-nucleotide ribosomal RNA is filed under the name uncultured bacterium. Its description in RNAcentral is "partial 16S ribosomal RNA". It matches the Rfam family "Bacterial small subunit ribosomal RNA", at positions 28 to 507 of the family's 1533-position model. The record is from RNAcentral.